Long non-coding RNA from Scylla paramamosain (green mud crab), 289 nucleotides. RefSeq lists it as uncharacterized. NCBI's taxonomy places the organism in Eukaryota, Metazoa, Arthropoda, Malacostraca, Decapoda, Portunidae. The transcript is spliced from 3 exons. The record is from RefSeq and is a predicted model, not a curated record.
CCUCCGCUCUCUUGCAGUCUUCUCUCAACCUGCAAUUAUGAAGCUCCAAACAAUAACGCGAGGCAGGACGUGCAGCCAAGACCCUGAGCACCCCGGAUCUCCCCCAGGACUCCCCCAGGUGUUGGCGGACCACCAGCCUCCCUCACCUGUUCCUCGCAUCUGUGGCUAUGUGCGUACGUCUAGAACUUCGUAAUGUAAGUACAAUAAUUUCCUUCAGACAUUACAACUCUCUCCACAUUUAGUAAUAAUCUUUCACUUCAAAAACAAUGAAAAAUUAAAUUUUAAAAAA